GGACGGCUCAGUAACACGUGGCUAACCUACCCUCGGGUGGGGGAUAACCUCGGGAAACUGAGGAUAAUACCCCAUAGGAGAAGAGGUCUGGAAUGAUCCUUCUCUGAAAACAUAUGUGCCCGAGGAUGGGGCUGCGUCUGAUUAGGUAGUUGGUGGGGUAACGGCCCACCAAGCCUACGAUCAGUACGGGCCUUGAGAGAGGCAGCCCGGAGAUGGGGACUGAGACACGGCCCCAGGCCCUACGGGGCGCAGCAGGCGCGAAACCUCCGCAAUGCACGAAAGUGCGACGGGGGGACCCCAAGUGCUUACGCACUGCGUAGGCUUUUCUAAAGUGUAAAAAGCUUUAGGAAUAAGGGCUGGGCAAGUCCGGUGCCCGCAGCCGCGGUAACACCGGCGGCCCGAGUGGUGACCACUUUUAUUGGGCCUAAAGCGUCCGUAGCCGGUCCAGUAAGUCCCUGUUUAAAUCCUACGGCUUAACCGUAGGGCUGGCAGGGAUACUGCUGGACUUGGGACCGGGAGAGGGCGAGGGUACUUCAGGGGUAGCGGUGAAAUGUGUUGAUCCCUGGAGGACCACCUAUGGCGAAGGCACUCGCCUGGAAC
RNAcentral lists this ribosomal RNA (600 nucleotides) under uncultured archaeon. RNAcentral describes it as "bacterial SSU rRNA". It matches the Rfam family "Archaeal small subunit ribosomal RNA", at positions 83 to 686 of the family's 1478-position model. The record is from RNAcentral.